RNAcentral lists this ribosomal RNA (1520 nucleotides) under Staphylococcus haemolyticus. Its description in RNAcentral is "bacterial SSU rRNA". It matches the Rfam family "Bacterial small subunit ribosomal RNA". Lineage: Bacteria; Bacillati; Bacillota; Bacilli; Caryophanales; Staphylococcaceae. The record is from RNAcentral.
AGAGUUUGAUCAUGGCUCAGGAUGAACGCUGGCGGCGUGCCUAAUACAUGCAAGUCGAGCGAACAGACAAGGAGCUUGCUCCUUUGACGUUAGCGGCGGACGGGUGAGUAACACGUGGGUAACCUACCUAUAAGACUGGGAUAACUUCGGGAAACCGGAGCUAAUACCGGAUAAUAUUUCGAACCGCAUGGUUCGAUAGUGAAAGAUGGUUUUGCUAUCACUUAUAGAUGGACCCGCGCCGUAUUAGCUAGUUGGUAAGGUAACGGCUUACCAAGGCGACGAUACGUAGCCGACCUGAGAGGGUGAUCGGCCACACUGGAACUGAGACACGGUCCAGACUCCUACGGGAGGCAGCAGUAGGGAAUCUUCCGCAAUGGGCGAAAGCCUGACGGAGCAACGCCGCGUGAGUGAUGAAGGUCUUCGGAUCGUAAAACUCUGUUAUUAGGGAAGAACAUACGUGUAAGUAACUAUGCACGUCUUGACGGUACCUAAUCAGAAAGCCACGGCUAACUACGUGCCAGCAGCCGCGGUAAUACGUAGGUGGCAAGCGUUAUCCGGAAUUAUUGGGCGUAAAGCGCGCGUAGGCGGUUUUUUAAGUCUGAUGUGAAAGCCCACGGCUCAACCGUGGAGGGUCAUUGGAAACUGGAAAACUUGAGUGCAGAAGAGGAAAGUGGAAUUCCAUGUGUAGCGGUGAAAUGCGCAGAGAUAUGGAGGAACACCAGUGGCGAAGGCGACUUUCUGGUCUGUAACUGACGCUGAUGUGCGAAAGCGUGGGGAUCAAACAGGAUUAGAUACCCUGGUAGUCCACGCCGUAAACGAUGAGUGCUAAGUGUUAGGGGGUUUCCGCCCCUUAGUGCUGCAGCUAACGCAUUAAGCACUCCGCCUGGGGAGUACGACCGCAAGGUUGAAACUCAAAGGAAUUGACGGGGACCCGCACAAGCGGUGGAGCAUGUGGUUUAAUUCGAAGCAACGCGAAGAACCUUACCAAAUCUUGACAUCCUUUGACAACUCUAGAGAUAGAGCCUUCCCCUUCGGGGGACAAAGUGACAGGUGGUGCAUGGUUGUCGUCAGCUCGUGUCGUGAGAUGUUGGGUUAAGUCCCGCAACGAGCGCAACCCUUAAGCUUAGUUGCCAUCAUUAAGUUGGGCACUCUAAGUUGACUGCCGGUGACAAACCGGAGGAAGGUGGGGAUGACGUCAAAUCAUCAUGCCCCUUAUGAUUUGGGCUACACACGUGCUACAAUGGACAAUACAAAGGGCAGCGAAACCGCGAGGUCAAGCAAAUCCCAUAAAGUUGUUCUCAGUUCGGAUUGUAGUCUGCAACUCGACUACAUGAAGCUGGAAUCGCUAGUAAUCGUAGAUCAGCAUGCUACGGUGAAUACGUUCCCGGGUCUUGUACACACCGCCCGUCACACCACGAGAGUUUGUAACACCCGAAGCCGGUGGAGUAACCAUUUGGAGCUAGCCGUCGAAGGUGGGACAAAUGAUUGGGGUGAAGUCGUAACAAGGGUAACCGUAAAAC